This 500-nucleotide ribosomal RNA is filed under the name uncultured Propionibacterium sp. Its description in RNAcentral is "bacterial SSU rRNA". It matches the Rfam family "Bacterial small subunit ribosomal RNA", at positions 141 to 657 of the family's 1533-position model. Lineage: Bacteria; Bacillati; Actinomycetota; Actinomycetes; Propionibacteriales; Propionibacteriaceae. The record is from RNAcentral.
AGAUAACUUCUGGAAACUGGGGCUGCUACCGGACCCGGGCUCUCGCUGCUGGGUGGGGGUUGGAAAGUUUGUGCGGUUGGGGAUGGACUCGCGGCUUAUCAGCUUGUUGGUGGGGACCCGGCUUGGGGAGCUUUGACGGGCGCUCAGCCUCAGAGGGUGACCGGGAAUCUUGGUGAGAGAUACGCACCAGACUCCUACGGGAGGCAGCAGUGGGGAAUAUUGCACAAUGGGCGGAAGCCUGAUGCAGCAACGCCGCGUGCGGGAUGACGGCCUUCGGGUUGUAAACCGCUUUCGCCUGUGACGAAGCGUGAGUGACGGUAAUGGGUAAAGAAGCACCGGCUAACUACGUGCCAGCAGCCGCGGUGAUACGUAGGGUGCGAGCGUUGUCCGGAUUUAUUGGGCGUAAAGGGCUCGUAGGUGGUUGAUCGCGUCGGAAGUGUAAUCUUGGGGCUUAACCCUGAGCGUGCUUUCGAUACGGGUUGACUUGAGGAAGGUAGGGG